GGAUGAACGCUGGCGGCGUGCCUAAUACAUGCAAGUCGAGCGAACUGAUUAGAAGCUUGCUUCUAUGACGUUAGCGGCGGACGGGUGAGUAACACGUGGGCAACCUGCCUGUAAGACUGGGAUAACUUCGGGAAACCGAAGCUAAUACCGGAUAGGAUCUUCUCCUUCAUGGGAGAUGAUUGAAAGAUGGUUUCGGCUAUCACUUACAGAUGGGCCCGCGGUGCAUUAGCUAGUUGGUGAGGUAACGGCUCACCAAGGCAACGAUGCAUAGCCGACCUGAGAGGGUGAUCGGCCACACUGGGACUGAGACACGGCCCAGACUCCUACGGGAGGCAGCAGUAGGGAAUCUUCCGCAAUGGACGAAAGUCUGACGGAGCAACGCCGCGUGAGUGAUGAAGGCUUUCGGGUCGUAAAACUCUGUUGUUAGGGAAGAACAAGUACGAGAGUAACUGCUCGUACCUGACGGUACCUAACC
This 475-nucleotide ribosomal RNA is filed under the name soil bacterium 09G-03. RNAcentral's name for it is "bacterial SSU rRNA". It matches the Rfam family "Bacterial small subunit ribosomal RNA", at positions 27 to 484 of the family's 1533-position model. RNAcentral also lists the same sequence under 3 other names. The record is from RNAcentral.